GCGCCCGUAGCUCAGCGGAUAGAGCAUCGGACUUCGGAUCCGGCGGUCGGGGGUUCAAAUCCCUCCGGGCGCGCCA
Molecule: transfer RNA, 76 nt
Filed under: Acidobacteriota bacterium
Lineage: Bacteria; Pseudomonadati; Acidobacteriota
Description: Acidobacteria bacterium (wastewater metagenome) tRNA-Arg
Rfam family: tRNA
About the family: Transfer RNA (tRNA) molecules are approximately 80 nucleotides in length.
Source: RNAcentral